AUGCAUUCUAUCCUCAUUAGCGAGGUGAUGGCUGGGACUCCUCUAAACGUCUCCAAGGCGGAUCCUGGAAUGGAAAGGCCCAGAUGGGGAAAUUGAGACUAAGAAGAAACUGCAGAAGAUCAUACAGCUGGCCUGGACUCAAACCUUGAUUCAUCCAGUUCCCAAACCCUGAGCCACCACACCAGGACACCUUGAGGAAAAUCGAAAACAAAUAUUCCUGCUGUCCUCAAUCAGUCAGAUGACCAAGACUCUGCAGGACCUAGGAUCCACGGGCUCUCUCUCUGUUCUCUGAUGUCUUGCUUCCAGUGUCGCCAAGGAAGAGUCUGAUGCUGACUUAGUCAGAUUUUCUCUUAAUCUUGGGAGUUUGUGAAUUUCACCAGGAUAUACCUUGGUGUGUGUUUUUUUUCUACAUCCAUCCAGCAUGGAGCUUGGGGAUUCUUUCAAGCUACAGAUUUGGCUCUUUCCCCAGCAGAAGAAAAAUUUCUUGUAUCACUUAACGUAUUUUCAGCCUCUCCUCCUGAAAUGGUGAUCAUUUGUACCUCUUCAUUAUUUGGCCCUGAGGUACUCCCUGCAAGUCAUUUCCAGGUGUGGUAGGCAGGAAGCAUUGAAUUUCCCCAAAGAUGUCCACGUCCCAAUCCUUGGAAGCCGUGAAUAUGUUAGCUUACAUGGCAAAAUGGACUUUGUAGAUAUGGUUAUGGAUCUGGCAAUUAGGUAAGUAUCCCGGAUUAUCCCAGUGGACCCCAUAUAAUCACAGGGGAUCCUUAGAAGAUGGGAGAGAGGCAAGAGGAUCAGAGAAUCUGGAGUCAGAGACUGCAUUGAU
Nyctereutes procyonoides (raccoon dog) is the source of this 820-nucleotide long non-coding RNA. RefSeq lists it as uncharacterized. The transcript has 3 exons. The record is from RefSeq and is a predicted model, not a curated record. NCBI's taxonomy places the organism in Eukaryota, Metazoa, Chordata, Mammalia, Carnivora, Canidae.